RNAcentral lists this ribosomal RNA (496 nucleotides) under uncultured bacterium. Its description in RNAcentral is "partial 16S ribosomal RNA". It matches the Rfam family "Bacterial small subunit ribosomal RNA", at positions 29 to 507 of the family's 1533-position model. The record is from RNAcentral.
AUGAACGCUGGCGGCGUGCCUAAUACCUGCAAGUCGAGCGAACGGACGAGAAGCUUGCUUUUCUGAUGUUAGCGGCGGACGGGUGAGUAACACGUGGAUAACCUACCUAUAAGACUGGGAUAACUUCGGGAAACCGGAGCUAAUACCGGAUAAUAUUUUGAACCGCAUGGUUCAAAAGUGAAAGACGGUCUUGCUGUCACUUAUAGAUGGAUCCGCGCUGCAUUAGCUAGUUGGUAAGGUAACGGCUUACCAAGGCAACGAUGCAUAGCCGACCUGAGAGGGUGAUCGGCCACACUGGAACUGAGACACGGUCCAGACUCCUACGGGAGGCAGCAGUAGGGAAUCUUCCGCAAUGGGCGAAAGCCUGACGGAGCAACGCCGCGUGAGUGAUGAAGGUCUUCGGAUCGUAAAACUCUGUUAUUAGGGAAGAACAUAUGUGUAAGUAUCUGUGCACAUCUUGACGGUACCUAAUCAGAAAGCCACGGCUAACUACGUG